This 447-nucleotide ribosomal RNA is filed under the name uncultured bacterium. RNAcentral describes it as "bacterial SSU rRNA". It matches the Rfam family "Bacterial small subunit ribosomal RNA", at positions 355 to 825 of the family's 1533-position model. The record is from RNAcentral.
UGGGGAAUUUUGGGCAAUGGGCGAAAGCCUGACCCAGCAACGCCGCGUGAAGGAUGAAGUAUUUCGGUAUGUAAACUUCGAAAGAAUAGGAAGAAUAAAUGACGGUACUAUUUAUAAGGUCCGGCUAACUACGUGCCAGCAGCCGCGGUAAUACGUAGGGACCAAGCGUUGUUCGGAUUUACUGGGCGUAAAGGGCGCGUAGGCGGCAAUUCAAGUCAUCUGUGAAAUCUCCGGGCUUAACUCGGAACGGUCAGAUGAUACUGCUUUGCUAGAGUGCAGAAGGGGCAAUCGGAAUUCUUGGUGUAGCGGUGAAAUGCGUAGAUAUCAAGAGGAACACCUGAGGUGAAGACGGGUUGCUGGGCUGACACUGACGCUGAGGCGCGAAAGCCAGGGGAGCAAACGGGAUUAGAUACCCAAGUAGUCCCUGAGCGGGCUGGCAAGGCGCAU